Molecule: ribosomal RNA, 546 nt
Filed under: Triticum aestivum (bread wheat)
Lineage: Eukaryota; Viridiplantae; Streptophyta; Magnoliopsida; Poales; Poaceae
Description: partial small subunit ribosomal RNA
Source: RNAcentral
AUGCCUCUCUCGCUCGGCGCCGACCACCUCGCCGCGCCCGGCGCGCGCGCUCCGCCUGCGCGGGUGGGCACGGGCAUGGGCAUGGACACGUCCCUCUCGCUGGGCGGUGCCGCCGCCUACCUCCCGCUCAACGAGAACGACUCCCUCGACAUGCUCCUCUUCGACGUCCUCCGCGAGGCCUCCGCCGUGGCCGCCGCCUCGCCCUCCUCGUCCUCCUCUCCCCCGACGAAGACGGCGACGGCCAUUGCCGCCGCUGGCGCCGACGCGAUCGAGGGCGGCGGGGCAUGCGCGGCCGGGAGGGCCGCGGAGCGCCCGCACUACCGCGGGGUGAGGCGGCGGCCGUGGGGCAAGUACGCGGCGGAGAUCCGGGACCCGUCGCGGCCCGGCACGCGCCUGUGGCUCGGCACCUUCGGCACGGCCGAGGAGGCGGCCGUCGCGUACGACCGCGCCGCGUUCCGCCUGCGCGGCGCCAAGGCGCUGCUCAACUUCCCGCCGGCCGUGGGGGCGCACGAGGCGCGCCGCGGCGGCGCCAAUGAGGCGAGGUGA